Molecule: ribosomal RNA, 253 nt
Filed under: uncultured bacterium
Lineage: Bacteria
Description: partial 16S ribosomal RNA
Rfam family: Bacterial small subunit ribosomal RNA
Source: RNAcentral
UACAGAGGGGGCAAGCGUUGUUCGGAAUUACUGGGCGUAAAGGGCGCGUAGGCGGCCUUCUAAGUCGAACGUGAAAUCCCUGGGCUCAACCCAGGAACUGCGUCCGAUACUGAAAGGCUUGAAUCCGGGAGAGGGAUGCGGAAUUCCAGGUGUAGCGGUGAAAUGCGUAGAUAUCUGGAGGAACACCGGUGGCGAAGGCGGCAUCCUGGACCGGCAUUGACGCUGAGGCGCGAAAGCUAGGGGAGCAAACGGG